Acanthosepion pharaonis is the source of this 110-nucleotide non-coding RNA. NCBI's taxonomy places the organism in Eukaryota, Metazoa, Mollusca, Cephalopoda, Sepiida, Sepiidae. The record is from the annotation of a GenBank genome assembly.
UUACGGCCACAUCACGUUGAAACACUUGUUCUCCUACGAUCAUCGAAGUUAAGCAACAUUGAGCCUGGUCAUUACCUAGAUGUGUGAUCGCUUGGGAAUACCAGGUACUA